This 406-nucleotide ribosomal RNA is filed under the name uncultured bacterium. RNAcentral's name for it is "bacterial SSU rRNA". It matches the Rfam family "Bacterial small subunit ribosomal RNA", at positions 354 to 777 of the family's 1533-position model. The record is from RNAcentral.
GUGGGGGAUAUUGCACAAUGGGGGAAACCCUGAUGCAGCAACGCCGCGUGAGGGAAGAAGGUUUUCGGAUUGUAAACCUCUGUUCUUAGUGACGAUAAUGACGGUAGCUAAGGAGAAAGCUCCGGCUAACUACGUGCCAGCAGCCGCGGUAAUACGUAGGGAGCGAGCGUUGUCCGGAUUUACUGGGUGUAAAGGGUGCGUAGGCGGCGAGGCAAGUCAGGCGUGAAAUCUAUGGGCUUAACCCAUAAACUGCGCUUGAAACUGUCUUGCUUGAGUGAAGUAGAGGUAGGCGGAAUUCCCGGUGUAGCGGUGAAAUGCGUAGAGAUCGGGAGGAACACCAGUGGCGAAGGCGGCCUACUGGGCUUUAACUGACGCUGAAGCACGAAAGCAUGGGUAGCAAACAGGA